Molecule: ribosomal RNA, 467 nt
Filed under: uncultured bacterium
Lineage: Bacteria
Description: partial 16S ribosomal RNA
Rfam family: Bacterial small subunit ribosomal RNA
Source: RNAcentral
GACGAACGCUGGCGGCGUGCUUAACACAUGCAAGUCGAACGGAAAGGCCCUGUUUUUUUGGGUUGCUCGGGGGGCAAACGGGGAGGUAACCGGUGGUUAACCUGCCCUUGCCUUUGGGUUACCUUCAGGAACCUGGGGUUAAUCCCGGAUGGGGCCUCCUCCGGCUUGGUGGGGGUUGGAAAGUUCGGCGGUUGGGGGUGGACUCGCGGCGUAUCAGCUUGUUGGUGGGGUAGUGGCUUACCAAGGCUUUGACGGGUAGCCGGCCUGAGAGGGUGACCGGCCACAUUGGGACUGAGAUACGGCCCAGACUCCUACGGGAGGCAGCAGUGGGGAAUAUUGCACAAUGGGCGGAAGCCUGAUGCAGCAACGCCGCGUGCGGGAUGACGGCCUUCGGGUUGUAAACCGCUUUCGCCUGUGACGAAGCGUGAGUGACGGUAAUGGGUAAAGAAGCACCGGCUAACUACGUG